RNAcentral lists this ribosomal RNA (302 nucleotides) under uncultured bacterium. RNAcentral's name for it is "partial 16S ribosomal RNA". It matches the Rfam family "Bacterial small subunit ribosomal RNA", at positions 508 to 808 of the family's 1533-position model. The record is from RNAcentral.
GCAGCCGCCGCGGUAAGACAGAGGAUGCAAGCGUUAUCCGGAAUGACUGGGCGUAAAGGGCGCGUAGGCGGCGAUCAAAGUCAGGCGUGAAAUUCCUGGGCUCAACCUGGGGGCUGCGCUUGAUACUGGGUUGCCUGAGUGGGGAAGAGGGUCGUGGAAUUCCCAGUGUAGAGGUGAAAUUCGUAGAUAUUGGGAAGAACACCGGUGGCGAAGGCGGCGACCUGGUCCUUUACUGACGCUGAGGCGCGAAAGCGUGGGAGCAAACAGGAUUAGAUACCCCUGUAGUCCCUGUCUCUUAUACA